Molecule: long non-coding RNA, 1600 nt
Organism: Pezoporus flaviventris
Lineage: Eukaryota; Metazoa; Chordata; Aves; Psittaciformes; Psittacidae
Exons: 2
Source: RefSeq, a predicted model, not a curated record
CCUUUAAAACAGAAAGAGAUUUUGGGUCUCAAAUUCAAUGCCUGAAUUAAGCUCAGCUUUGGGGAGUUUUCUUUGUCAUUCCUUGAAAAGUAUGGCAAGUAUUUUGUAUGUUUUUUAGUGGACACUGUUCCUACAGAUUUGUUAUCGCAUAUUCUGAAGUACUUUUCUGCAUUUUUGCAGCUACCCAUGUAAAAUGAUCAAUUUAUUUUGCAUAAUAUGCCCACAAAUAAAAGCAAAAACUAAACGUUUUAUAAAUCAUCUGACAUUCCAACAGUGUGCUGUUUACUGACUUCAGAUGACUCAUUGUCAUAUUCAUUUGUUAGCUUGUUCAUCUAUUAAAUGUAACAUGCUCUACAACAAGUGACCCAUUUAAUUUUCAAUUCUAAUUGUGAUUUUUUGGAGCCUCCUAAUCCAUUUUUUUUCUAGUCUGAGUACCAAAGGUUAAUAUUUUAAAAUUAGAUGUCUCAACAGAAUUGGGUCAUAGUGACUGCUAAAUAAGCAAAGCAAUUACAAUUGUGCAGCUUUUAGCAUUUCUUCUACUAACUUUCCAUAAAUAAAAACUUUCCUCAAAGGUUUCAACAGUUUAAUUCUGAGCUAUCACUAACUAUAAAAGUUCUUCCCAAAUUCAAAUAAAUCUGAAGUUAUGAGUAGCAAGACAAUUACCAUAGAACUUUAUAGAAAUGUAAAUUUUUUAGAUUCUUCACUCAAAUUUGAAAACUUUCUGAUUACAUACAGACAAAGAACAAAAGCCCAAAGGACAUUCUUACAUCCGAUAUUCUUGCUGAUUAUUGCAUCUUGAUUAGCACAUAUUGAUGGAAUGUGAUCAUUGACACCAUUACAAAGCACACACUUUAAUAUUGUUUAAGAUUGUUGAUGUCUGGCAAGCUCUACAACAGCUUUAAUAUUUUAUAGUAAUAGUAUUGCACUGAUUUCUUCUAGGUACUUUUUUCCUUGUUAUUGAGCUUGUGGAUCUACUACAGGUUCUUUGCUAUUUGUGUCUAAUGACUUUAAAGAUCAGUGUGCCUUUCCUCUCAUUUUACACAUUUGUUUUUCAGCUCUUCCCCCUCUUUCAAGAAAGCCAGUGUAAAUAAAUGGUUUCUGAGGCCAUAAAGCCUGUGUGAAAUGUCUGAAUGACAAAGUAAUGAACAUUGUUUGUGGCUGGAGUCAACACAAGUAUUUAUUGCUAAGCAACAAAGACUGAUGUCAGCGAGUUUUGCCAAAUGCAGAUGAGAGAUGGAGGAAAAUAACAGGCCUCAAAGGAACUACCUUUCUGAACAAGCAUGUUUUUCUCAGUGCUUUCUUGGAGAAGGAAACAAGGAAAACUAAAUAGAAGUAGAUGGCAUUUUAUUUCAGAAAAUCAUCUCAGAAUAAUGUCAUCUAAAAACCCAAUAACUCAGGUAACUUGUCUGCUGCAGACUUUAUGUUUGCUGUUAGGCUCAUGAGCUCCUCUACAUUUCUCUGUGAAAGGUUUGAGAGAAAGGACGUCUAAUAAUCAGUUGCAACAAAUAUUUUUCUGCUGUUUCUUAUUGAAAUCUUAUUGACAGAGAUCUUCUUUGACACUCCAGACAGCCUCUGGAGGAAAUAAAAUACCACAAACAGA